RNAcentral lists this ribosomal RNA (253 nucleotides) under uncultured bacterium. Its description in RNAcentral is "partial 16S ribosomal RNA". It matches the Rfam family "Bacterial small subunit ribosomal RNA", at positions 524 to 776 of the family's 1533-position model. The record is from RNAcentral.
UACGUAGGGUGCGAGCGUUAAUCGGAAUUACUGGGCGUAAAGCGUGCGCAGGCGGUUUUGUAAGCCAGAUGUGAAAGCCCCGGGCUUAACCUGGGAAUGGCAUUUGGGACUGCAAGGCUUGAGUUUGGCAGAGGAGACUGGAAUUCCUGGUGUAGCAGUGAAAUGCGUAGAUAUCAGAAGGAAUACCGAUGGCGAAGGCAGGUCUCUGGGCUGAAACUGACGCUCAUGCACGAAAGCGUGGGGAGCAAACAGG